AUCGGUGACAGGUGGUGCAUGGUUGUCGUCAGCUCGUGUCGUGAGAUGUUGGGUUAAGUCCCGCACGAGCGCAACCCCUAUUGUUAGUUGCCAUCAUUCAGUUGGGCACUCUAGCGAGACUGCCGGUAAUAAACCGGAGGAAGUGGGGAUGACGUCAAAUCAUCAUGCCCCUUAUGACCUGGGCUACACACGUGCUACAAUGGUUGGUACAACGAGUUGCGAGUCGGUGACGGCGAGCUAAUCUCUUAAAGCCAAUCUCAGUUCGGAUUGUAGGCUGCAACUCGCCUACAUGAAGUCGGAAUCGCUAGUAAUCGCGGAUCAGCACGCCGCGGUGAAUACGUUCCCGGGCCUU
Molecule: ribosomal RNA, 352 nt
Filed under: uncultured Streptococcus sp.
Lineage: Bacteria; Bacillati; Bacillota; Bacilli; Lactobacillales; Streptococcaceae
Description: bacterial SSU rRNA
Rfam family: Bacterial small subunit ribosomal RNA
Source: RNAcentral